This 3004-nucleotide unclassified non-coding RNA is filed under the name Leishmania donovani. Its description in RNAcentral is "gene:LdHU3.10.0380(CDS-product:Amastin_surface_gl ycoprotein_putative)". Lineage: Eukaryota; Euglenozoa; Kinetoplastea; Trypanosomatida; Trypanosomatidae. The record is from RNAcentral.
UGGAAGGAGCAGUAACGGUUGUUCCGCCCCCCCCCUCUCCUCCUCCCGCAACGCGCACCCCACCGGCGAAUACGUUGCAUCACUCCAGAUAAACAAGCAGCAGCCACGGAGGCGAUAUCGGCCCCCUCCGCUCCCCUUUCCAAAGCGGCGAUCGGUGCAGCCGCUGGGUCGGAUGUUCGCCUCGGCGCAUUCUAUCAGACCUGUUUGAGUUUGCGUAACGGAAGAGGCUGAGGUUUGUCAGCCGCUUCCCCCCCCCUCCCCCCCAAACCCCCAACCCUCUCUCGCCCUGCAGGAGUCACUUCCAGAGCGCACCCUCCCUACUCGCACAACCGAGCACAGCUACACAUCCCAUCUCCCGAGAUGGCGGCCAGCUACCACAGGGAGGACCGCGCGGAGACGGAGCUGGUGGACCAGCAGCCGAUUGAGCACUUCAACCCUGAUCUCAACAACGUGAGCCUAACCUCUUCGCAGGCUGACGCGAAGGCGCUGGAGGAGGCGGCCGGCGUGGACCUGCGCGCGGUGCCAGAGGAGCACUCGGGCAAGUGCGUGAUGAUCUCAUGGAUCCUCUUCUCGUCCGUGAGCUUCAUCUUCAUGCUGGCUGCGUCGCUCCCAGUGCCGUGGCUGAAAGACGGCCAGGGCCGAAAGUGGACGGUAUGGAAGGAUGUGAACGGGACGCCGUGGAGCAAGAUUGAGUGUGACCACAAACGCCAGUUGUUUCAGGCGAUGGAGGCGUUCACGAUCGUUGGAUGCCUGCUGAGUCUUGGUAGCCUCGUCGCCGGUGCCCUGCAGAUGAUGGGCCGCGGCCACCUUGGUGUGAUGAUGUUAUUCGGCUUCUUGACAGUGAUGGUUUCGCUGACGGACUGGGCGCUUAUUGUGAGCCAGUACCACAAGCACAACUGCGCCGGUGAUCAGGUAUACGCGGCUGGAAUCAACCGCCUUGACGCCGGCUUCGGCCUUGUCUUCAUCUCCUUCGCCCUGAUGCUUUUCGGCAUCAUCGCCCUGGCGCGUUGGAUGAGCGAAAGCCUCAGCCUGUCGGAGCUGCAUCGCACCAAGUACCACAGCUCCGCCCUCAUGAGCUCCUUCAUCAGCGGCUGCGUGCUGACGAUCGCGACUGUGGGAACGGCGCAGAACAUGUGGGAGCACUACGACAGGAAGACGUCGCUAAAGAUCACUUACUGGGGCGUCGAGAUCUACCACCGCAAUGAGGGCCUGUCGGAGAACUGGCCGCUGAGCUCCUACCACUGUCCACAGUUCACUCUGCAUAUGCGCGCUGGUGCCGUCUUUUCCAUCAUCAGCGACGCGUUCCUCUUUUUCACGUUCCUGUUCUCCGUUGCGGCCGUAUAUAGCCGCCCGUGCAAGUGGGUCACGGUGGGCUUCGGUGCGGUCUCCUGGAUCUUACUGCUGGUGUGCUCGGCGAUCACGAUCGCCGCUCGAUACAAGACGUUCUGCCCCUCGGGCGUGGUGCCGCCGAGCACUGCCAUCUACGGUGCCCCGCUCGACACCAUCGAGCAGCGGGUGAACUUCAAGGGCUUCGUCAUCACAGACGGCCUGGGUAUGAUCAUCUCUGCCUGGUGCAUCACAACGGCGAACCUCAUCUACCUCGUGAUCAAGGGGUAAGGCGGCGGUGAGGGCACAAGCAGGAGGUACAGCAACAACAAAAAGAAAAGGGCAAGGGGAAGGGCGAUGCAGCGUGCCGGUGCGCGCGCGGAGAAAUCCGUGAGUGGCUCCGCGGUGGAUGACGGCGUGAAUGGCGAUGAAGGCGCUGCACCGUUGACGCGCUUUGCCACAGACACGCACAUCUGUGCGGCUUUUCCUCGUGUGGCCUCUCCCCCCUCCCACUUCCACCCCCCCCCUCCCCCUCUUGCAUCAGCCCCGGCCCUGCGGGCCUCCUCUGCGCUCUGCUCCACAUGCAGGCAAACGGAGACGGAGAGGCGAAGGUGCAAAGAGCGAAAAAAAAAAAACGAUAACGAUUCAAGUGCAGGCGAAAACAUAUGCCAAGGCGUGUAGACGUCAUCAUACCCCACAUGCGUGCGUGCAGCCGGUUGGGUGCAUGCGCGUAAUCGGCGGCGCGCGCGUGUGUGUGCGUGUGUGGUCUUUUCUCUGGCGCUGAUGGGUUGUUAUAUUUUGUAUAUUUUGUAAGUUUUUUUUUUUACAGUGGCCGUUAUCUCUUCGCUGCUUGUAGCAUCUCUCGACUUCUCACCAGCUUCACAGAUGAGGCUCUUCCUCUUCCUCCUCCUCUUGUGUGCUGUGUAUCCUCGUUGCUGCAUGUCCUUCCCCUCUCCCCUCCCCUCCCCCCAUCUACCCAUCCCAACCCUUAUUUUUCGUUUGGAGAGUCUGUGUAUGCGGGCGUGUGCAAGAAGCUGGCUUAGCGUGCGCGUGUGCUUGUGGUACCCGCCUCUUGCUCGUGGCGGUGUCGCAACAGCAUGAGGAGGAGUGGCAGCGGAGCGGGGCCCUAGGCGCAGCCGCACACACGCGGGAGUCGCACCACGGCAUCCCUGAGUAGCGAGGGGGAGUGGAGGAGCAGGAACAAGCGAGCCGCGAGAAGGGAGGGAGGGAGAGCUCCCUACGUCAUGUUUGAAGACCGAACGAAAACACACGAAAGGGCCAGACAACGGACCAAACAAGCUCGCCAACAAGGGGAAGCAUCCGGCUGCUCGAGGAGCCAUCGACGGACGCCACAUGCGCCGCUUCUCUUCUUCUUCUUCCCUGUGUUGGCAUUAUUCAAAACCCUCACCCACCCACCCAACCAAAAAAGAAUACGACGACGACGCGCUGUGCUUUUCUUGUGCGGCACACGGCAGUCCACGUAAGAUGCGAUCUCACGCAGGGCAUGGCUCUGUGUGUUGUGUGCCGAGACACACAGCCGCGCAGGCACCUCCACGGACGCUCGCGCUUCAUCGUUCUCUGCGUGCUCGGCGUCAGUGAAAGAGAGGGCAAGCACCCGUGCGCGCGUGGUAGCAUGGCUUUUGUCGUGGUCUUCCUCUGUGUGUACAGCACACUGUCU